UUUAAGCGUAGCCAUGAGUUUCCGUGUCUAACUUUGAUUAUCAGUCUUAUUUAAAAAAAUCCAUGCUUAAUAUUUUUAUUGUUAUUAGAUGAUAAAACAUGAAUAAUACUUUAUGCGUGACUUACACUUUUUAAUUUUUUUUCAGAAAAAAAUUUAAAUGAAACGGACGAUCAAAAUUGGACACAGAAACUCAUGGUUGCGUUUAAA
This is a non-coding RNA of Oryza glaberrima (African rice), 207 nucleotides long. The record is from Rfam. NCBI's taxonomy places the organism in Eukaryota, Viridiplantae, Streptophyta, Magnoliopsida, Poales, Poaceae.